GGGCCGAUAGCUCAGCUUGGCUGGAGCGUUCGACUGAUAAAGAUUAUUCAGAUAUCGAAAGGUCGUGGGUUCAAAUCCCAUUCGGCCCA
RNAcentral lists this transfer RNA (89 nucleotides) under Nitrosotalea sinensis. RNAcentral's name for it is "Candidatus Nitrosotalea sinensis tRNA". It matches the Rfam family "tRNA". From Rfam's summary of the family: Transfer RNA (tRNA) molecules are approximately 80 nucleotides in length. Their secondary structure includes four short double-helical elements and three loops (D, anti-codon, and T loops). Further hydrogen bonds mediate the characteristic L-shaped molecular structure. tRNAs have two regions of fundamental functional importance: the anti-codon, which is responsible for specific mRNA codon recognition, and the 3' end, to which the tRNAs corresponding amino acid is attached (by aminoacyl-tRNA synthetases). tRNAs cope with the degeneracy of the genetic code in two manners: having more than one tRNA (with a specific anti-codon) for a particular amino acid; and 'wobble' base-pairing, i.e. permitting non-standard base-pairing at the 3rd anti-codon position. The record is from Rfam by way of RNAcentral. Lineage: Archaea; Thermoproteati; Nitrososphaerota; Nitrososphaeria; Nitrosotaleales; Nitrosotaleaceae.